This 490-nucleotide ribosomal RNA is filed under the name uncultured bacterium. RNAcentral describes it as "partial 16S ribosomal RNA". It matches the Rfam family "Bacterial small subunit ribosomal RNA", at positions 28 to 507 of the family's 1533-position model. The record is from RNAcentral.
GAUGAACGCUAGCGGCAGGCCUAAUACAUGCAAGUCGAACGGGAUCCAGAUCAAAGCUUGCUUUGGUUUGGUGAGAGUGGCGCACGGGUGCGUAACGCGUGAGCAACCUACCCUUGUCAGGGGGAUAGCCCGGCGAAAGUCGGAUUAAUACCGCAUGACAUCAUUGAGAGGCAUCUUUCGAUGAUCAAAGAUUUAUCGGACAAGGAUGGGCUCGCGUGACAUUAGCUAGUUGGUAAGGUAACGGCUUACCAAGGCUACGAUGUCUAGGGGCUCUGAGAGGAGAAUCCCCCACACUGGUACUGAGACACGGACCAGACUCCUACGGGAGGCAGCAGUAAGGAAUAUUGGUCAAUGGACGGAAGUCUGAACCAGCCAUGCCGCGUGCAGGAAGACGGCCCUAUGGGUUGUAAACUGCUUUUAUACGGGAACAAACGUCGGUACGGGUACCAGUCUGAGUGUACCGGAAGAAUAAGGAUCGGCUAACUCCGUG